CGGGUACCGCUUUCACUUCGUGACAGUUAUUGAGAUUUGAGAGCUGCUAUACUUCUUAGUCUUCGUCUACAGACCGAAACAUUGGAUUCGACCUGCAAUUUUGCAACCAACUUCGUCUUUUGUGAAUACCGAACAAGUGCUAAAACUCUUCAUUAUCGUCGACAUCACAAAAUCAACAGUACAUCAGAUUUUGCGAGAUACUGAACUUCUAGACUAUCUUUGAAGCGUUGCAGAAGCUCAAGACUAGUGAGGUGAUGAUUUUGUUACACCCUUUUUGUCUAGAAUAUUUUGUUUGCACAAUAUCACUUUUUUGUACAUGUGUACCCGUGUAUUUUUUGUGUGUGUGUAUGACAGGUUCACUUGAAGAUGAAGACGAAGGCGGGGAUUCCGUCGUGAUGGGCCACAUGUCUUUAGCACUGUGAGCCUGUCAGGGGUGUUAUUCAUAUGUCUUUAGCACUGCGACACUGACACCUCCAGACAGUCCCUUGAAGACGAAGACGAAGACGAAGGCGGGGAUUCCGUCGUGAUGGGCCACAUGUCUUUAGCACUGUGAGCCUGUCAGGGGUGUUAUUCAUAUGUCUUUAGCACUGCGACACUGACACCUCCAGACAGUCCCUUGAAGACGAAGACGAAGGCAGGGAUUCCGUCGUGAUGGGCCACAUGUCUUUAGCACUGUGAGCCUGUCAGGGGUGUUAUUCAUAUGUCUUUAGCACUGCGACACUGACACCUCCAGACAGUCCCUUGAAGACGAAGACGAAGGCAGGGAUUCCGUCGUGAUGGGCCACAUGUCUUUAGCACUGUGAGCCUGUCAGGGUGUUAUUCAUAUGUCUUUAGCACUGCGACACUGACACCUCCAGACA
Molecule: long non-coding RNA, 860 nt
Organism: Beta vulgaris subsp. vulgaris (sugar beet)
Lineage: Eukaryota; Viridiplantae; Streptophyta; Magnoliopsida; Caryophyllales; Amaranthaceae
Exons: 3
Source: RefSeq, a predicted model, not a curated record